Long non-coding RNA from Scylla paramamosain (green mud crab), 1427 nucleotides. RefSeq lists it as uncharacterized. The record is from RefSeq and is a predicted model, not a curated record. The transcript is spliced from 5 exons. NCBI's taxonomy places the organism in Eukaryota, Metazoa, Arthropoda, Malacostraca, Decapoda, Portunidae.
GUGUGUGUGUGUGUGUGUGUGUGUGUGUAUCUCAUUUAUUUAUUUAAGUUAUUUUUCUUCUUCACGCAGAUAGUAAUUGACGAACACAACACACCACGUGGAGAGAAGCAAGGUGUGGAGUACCCAAGCCUCUCACAGUCCAUGCUAGUAGACUCACCCUGCAUGUGGAGAUCUCCCAAAAUGCACGGAGGUUAUUCCAGAGCUGCAGGACAGAGUACUUGAGGCCAUUGGUGAACAGAAAGCUGAGGUUGAACAAAGCCAAGAAUUGAUAGCUGCCCAAGGUGUAAGCAAGAUUCACAAUGAUGAGGUCAUUGUGACGUGUGCAAUGUGUCCACUGGUCUUGGCCUUCCUGACCAAGGCAGCCACACAAAGGAAAUUCCACGUUAUUGUUGCCGAACGUGCCCCUAAAUAUGAUGGUCACCCAGUGGCAAAAGCUUUAUGUACUGCUGGAAUUGAGACAACAUUAAUUCAAGACUCUGCAGUGUUCCCCAUCAUGUCACGUGUCAACAAGGUCAUCAAAGGUCAUCGUUGGCACCGAGACGGUGGUGACCAACGGAGGCAUUGAGACCUUUGUUGGUGCAGCCUCUCUUGCCUCACCACCAAAGUUUUAUUCUGUUCCACUGUAUGUGUGCACUCCCACAUACAAAUUUAGCUUGAUGGGCUGUGAAGAAAUAAGCCACCAAACCACCACUUCUAUUAUCCCAGAGGGAACAAAGUUUUGGCCGUCUGUAAAUACUGCGCUGACUCAGCUAGAUUACGUUCCUCCAGAAAAUGUCACCAGUUUGAUAACUAACAAUCGAGGUACUGCACCAUCCUACGUGUACCGGCAGCUUAGCGAACUGUACCGUCCCACUUCUUGUGUAACAAGAAGGUAACAGCUUUAAUCCUUGCAAAUAAGGAAUAAGAGAAAAGAGACACACCUGCCAUUUGUACUGUUAUGCUGUAGUGUUCUGUCAUUUUUUUCCUCUUUUAUCCUAGAACCAUUUUUGGUCAUUCAUGUUUCUAAAAAUUAUUAUACAAAAAUGUUGAGCUUAAUAUGUUUGGUGUAGUUUUUUGUAACAUGUGUUAUUGUUAAUGUGUGUGGUUCCCCUCAGGAAGAAUGUUGCAGUAUUAGCAGUAAUGUUACAGCCAAUGGAAGUGUCUGUAUUGUGGUUUGGUGGGAGGUUAAUUUGAUGUAUUUUUAGAGUUGUGCAGGAUAUUAUAGCAAGCCCUCAAAAUAAAGAAAAUAACUAUAGAAAACACUCCUUGUAUUGAAAACACCACUGCAGAGAAAUCUCUAAUGAAACAGGAAACCCUACAUUCAGUACUGUGUGGUUGUUGCAGUAACACUGAGCUAAAUGCCUUUUGGAUGGUUGUACACUAAAAAUAAUGUAAAAAUGCCUAUAAACAACUGUCCGUCCCUGCAUUAAAAACCUUUCAUCAUAAAA